AGCGGCGGACGGGUGAGUAACGCGUGGGUAACCUGCCUCAUACAGGGGGAUAACAGUUGGAAACGGCUGCUAAUACCGCAUAAGCGCACAGUACCGCAUUGGUACCGUGUGAAAAACUCCGGUGGUAUGAGAUGGACCCGCGUCUGAUUAGCUAGUUGGUGGGUAACGGCCUACCAAGGCGACGAUCAGUAGCCGACCUGAGAGGGUGACCGGCCACAUUGGGACUGAGACACGGCCCAA
Molecule: ribosomal RNA, 240 nt
Filed under: uncultured bacterium
Lineage: Bacteria
Description: partial 16S ribosomal RNA
Rfam family: Bacterial small subunit ribosomal RNA
Source: RNAcentral